AGCGUUUUUCGAACUGCCAUCUAUGACGAGAGAAAGCGUUUGCUUGGACAUCGUAACUCGGUGUAAAAACGCGCAUAAUAGAAAAUGAUAAUUCGCCAAAAGUAAAAGUUUCAUCUCGAGGAAGAACUAUUCCAAAUUGAGUGAAUUAAAAUGUUGAAAUAUAUUUGAUAUAAAAAGUGUGUAAGAUCGAUAUUUAUAAACGAAAUUACUCGAUUAUAAACGCUUUUCGAACUGUCUUUAUAACUCGUCGCUGCUUUGACAUGUACAAAUCGAAAAAAAAUUCUUUCGGAUAAACAGUUUUUGAUAUCUAAGAAUCAAAUAAUUGGAAAUUAAACGACUUUCAAAUAUGGAUGUUUGUUAUAAAAAAAAAAGAAGAAAAAAGAACUCUAAUCUUACGUAAUACACGAUACAUAACCUAACGAAGGGAAUAUAUUUAAACAAAAAUAAAUCAAUCGUAUCGGGAUACGUGUUCUAGAAUAUAAAUAUUGAUAGAUUUCAGUUUCCCCUAUUACAAACAUGAUGUGUAAUGUAUAACCUAUAAUAAAAGAAAUGUAUCGCGUAAGAUAAAUUCUUAGAUAACCUUUCAGGAUACGUGUCUCGGAAUGGAAACGAUAUUAAACGAUAUUACGUGUCUCUGAAUUUUUUAUAAUAAACAAAAGGAUUUUAAAUAUUUCCAAGAAAA
Apis cerana (Asiatic honeybee) is the source of this 682-nucleotide long non-coding RNA. RefSeq lists it as uncharacterized. The record is from RefSeq and is a predicted model, not a curated record. Lineage: Eukaryota; Metazoa; Arthropoda; Insecta; Hymenoptera; Apidae.